GAUGAACGCUGGCGGCGUGCCUAAUACAUGCAAGUCGAGCGAACAGACGAGGAGCUUUCUCCUCUGACGUUAGCGGCGGACGUGUGAGUAACACGUGGAUAACCUACCUAUAAGACUGGGAUAACUUCGGGAAACCGGCGCUAAUACCGGAUAAUAUAUUGAACCGCAUGGUUCAAUAGUGAAAGACGGUUUUGCUGUCACUUAUAGAUGGAUCCGCGCCGCAUUAGCUAGUUGGUAAGGUAACGGCUUACCAAGGCAACGAUGCGUAGCCGACCUGAGAGGGUGAUCGGCCACACUGGAACGGAGACACGGUCCAGACUCCUACGGGAGGCAGCAGUAGGGAAUCUUCCGCAAUGGGCGAAAGCCCGACGGAGCAACGCCGCGUGAGUGAUGAAGGUCUUCGGAUCGUAAAACUCUGUUAUUAGGGAAGAACAAAUGUGUAAGUAACUAUGCACGUCUUGACGGUACCUAAUCAGAAAGCCACGGCUAACUACGUG
RNAcentral lists this ribosomal RNA (497 nucleotides) under uncultured bacterium. RNAcentral's name for it is "partial 16S ribosomal RNA". It matches the Rfam family "Bacterial small subunit ribosomal RNA", at positions 28 to 507 of the family's 1533-position model. The record is from RNAcentral.